GUAAAAUGGGCUAUUUCUAGACAUUGCCAUUCAAAAAGAAGGAAACCUAUCAAGAAGUGCAGAAAAGGUGCUCAACUUAAAUUAAUCUCAACUGUUUUUAUAUUAAAUCUAAUAUCAGAAGAUGGUAACUGUAAACUAUAGAUCUAAUGGAGGAAGGAAUAGCCAAACUGA
This is a long non-coding RNA of Fundulus heteroclitus (mummichog), 171 nucleotides long. RefSeq lists it as uncharacterized. The transcript has 2 exons. Lineage: Eukaryota; Metazoa; Chordata; Actinopteri; Cyprinodontiformes; Fundulidae. The record is from RefSeq and is a predicted model, not a curated record.